GACGAACGCUGGCGGCGUGCUUAACACAUGCAAGUCGAACGGAAAGGCCCUGCUUUUGUGGGUUGCUCGAGUGGCGAAGGGGAGAGUAGAGCGAGAGUAACCUACCCUUGCCUUUGGGAUAGCAUCAGGGAACUGAGGCUAAUACCAGAUAGGAGAUCCUGCUGCAUGGUGGGGGUUGGACAGGUGCAGCGGUUGGGGAUGGGCUGGAGGGGCAUGAGCUUGUUGGUGGGGUAGUGGCUUACCAAGGCUUUGACGGGUGGCCGGCCUGACAGGGUGACCGGCCCCACUGGGACUGAGAUACGGCCCAGACUCCUACGGGAGGCAGCAGUGGGGGAUAGUGCACAAUGGGCGGAAGCCUUAUGCAGCAACGCCGCUUGCGUGAUGACGGCCUUCGGGUUGUAAACCGCUUUCGCCUGUGACGAAGCGUGAGUGACGGUAAUGGGUUAAGAAGCACCGGCUAACUACGUG
RNAcentral lists this ribosomal RNA (468 nucleotides) under uncultured bacterium. RNAcentral's name for it is "partial 16S ribosomal RNA". It matches the Rfam family "Bacterial small subunit ribosomal RNA", at positions 28 to 507 of the family's 1533-position model. The record is from RNAcentral.